AUUGCACGCUGGCGGCAGGCCUAACACAUGCAAGUCGCACGAGUGGCGGACGGGUGAGUAAUGUCUGGGAAUCUGCCUGAUGGAGGGGGAUAACUACUGGAAACGGUAGCUAAUACCGCAUACCAUCAGAUGUGCCCCGAUGGGAUUGGCUAGUUGGUGGGGUAACGGCUCACCAAGGCGACGAUCCCUAGCUGGUCUGAGAGGAUGACCAGCCAAACUGGAACUGAGACACGGACCAGACUCCUACGGGAGGCAGCAGUGGGGAAUAUUGCACAAUGGUCGCAAGCCUGAUGCAGCCAUGCCGCGUGUAUGAAGAAGGCCUUCGGGUUGUAAAGUACUUUCAGUGGGGAGGCGUUACCCGCAGAAGAAGCACCGGCUAACUCCGUGCCAGCAGCCGCGGUAAUUC
Molecule: ribosomal RNA, 406 nt
Filed under: uncultured bacterium
Lineage: Bacteria
Description: partial 16S ribosomal RNA
Rfam family: Bacterial small subunit ribosomal RNA
Source: RNAcentral